RNAcentral lists this ribosomal RNA (515 nucleotides) under uncultured bacterium. Its description in RNAcentral is "bacterial SSU rRNA". It matches the Rfam family "Bacterial small subunit ribosomal RNA", at positions 735 to 1253 of the family's 1533-position model. The record is from RNAcentral.
AAAGACUGACGCUCAUGCACGAAAGCGUGGGGAUCAAACAGGAUUAGAUACCCUGGUAGUCCACGCUGUAAACGAUGAUCACUCGUUGUUGGCGAUAUACUGUCAGCGACUGAGCGAAAGCAUUAAGUGAUCCACCUGGGGAGUACGGCGGCAACGUUGAAACUCAAAGGAAUUGACGGGGGCCCGCACAAGCGGAGGAGCAUGUGGUUUAAUUCGAUGAUACGCGAGGAACCUUACCUGGGCUUAAAUGCAGGACGACGUUUCGUGAAAGCGGAAUUUCCUUCGGGACGUCUUGCAAGGUGCUGCAUGGUAGUCGUCAGCUCGUGCCGUGAGGUGUCGGGUUAAGUCCCAUAACGAGCGCAACCCUUAUCAUUAGUUGCCAUCAGGUCAAGCUGGGAACUCUAAUGAAACUGCCUACGCAAGUAGUGAGGAAGGUGGGGAUGACGUCAAAUCAGCACGGCCCUUAUGUCCAGGGCGACACACGUGCUACAAUGGCCAGUACAGAGGGUUGCAAA